UGCCGCGUUCCCGCUGUCGUUGGGGAGCCUCGCAUCCCCAGCCCGCGCUCCCCCCGAGCCUGCUGCAGCCUCUUCGGGGCCGUCAUUCUCAGGCGCGGUUUGUCAAGGCUGAAAACCUCCCAAAGAAAAGAUCCACGAGGUCAGAUCCCAUCCCACGGGGCGGGCGAGUGAAAUGCGCUGGUUUCCUUUUGUAAUCUGUUUUUCAUGACGCUGACAUUCACAGUCUUGGGGUUUCCCAGGAGGUAUUUGGGCUGAAAGCAGCAUUGUGCUUGUCUUCAGAGACCAAGACUUUCUGGCUCUUGCUUGGAAUAUUUCGCAAAGUCAUAGGCAGAACACAGGCAAACGCACAGACCCGAAGCACGGCGGGCCGCUCGCGGGGGACGGGCCAGGCGGUUAGCCCGGCGUGCCCCGGGCGGGAGGAGGGAACUGGGGUGCUCCCCCCCGGAGAACCCUGCUCUGGAAGUCCCCACCCCGCACAAUGCGCUGGAGAGGGGCAGUGAGUCAGCACCCCACCCCAGGUGGAUGGCCAUUUUGCCCAGCGCGCUCGACGCUGAGAUUGUCAGAUCGCAGUUUCUCUUUGCUUUCUGUGACUGGGAGGAUGGAAUGCGAUUGCUGGUAGAAAUCUUUGAGGUCGUUGGUCUGAAAGUGGAUUUAAUGAUAUGUUAAUUUAGGCAGAUGAGCGUCCGUGGGAAUGAUCUUCAAAAAGAAUUUAAAAUGGGAUAGCGAAGUCAUCGGCACCUGAGUCUAAACCAGGACUACCAGGCACGCCCAUGCCAGCUGGUUACCGAAGCAGGCCGAGUGAGGGGUGCACCUGGGCUUCUGCCUUGCAACCACCGUGGCUACUUCAAAAGAAUAUUAUUGCAUUAACUUUCCUGCUUGUUCUUGAGGGUUAGGGUUUCAAAAAUCGGAUGGGGUGAUACAUGCUUUAGUCAGUAUUUACACGGCUCCUUAAUCACUUCAUUGGACAAGUAGUUCAUUGAGCACCCACCGUAUACCACGCAGUGUUCAAGGCACUUCCAGUCAUUUCCUAAGGGUAACAGCUGCCCGUGGAUAAACUUCAAAGUGUACAGUUUUAUUGAGGUGAAGUGGAAAUACAGGAAACUACACGCAGAUUUUGGCAUAUCUGCGACGUGUACACCUGUGAAGCCAUCAUCACAAUCACGUUAGGGACUACAUCCAUCACCCAAAAAAGUGUUCUCAUGUCCUUUGGUAGUUCCUCCUCCUAAAUGUCCCCACUCCACCACGUAUCCCAGUCCAUAGAGAAAACCACUGACCAGAUUUAUAUCACUGUAGAUUUAUUUGCUUUUUCUAGACUUUCAUAUAAAAAAGAAUCAUACUGUAUGUAUACUUUUCUGUCUUUUCUUCACUUAAUGUUUACUUUCAGAAUCAUCUAUCUUGUUGCAGGUAUCGAUAAUGCAUUCCCGUUUAUUGCUCAGUAGUAGUCCACGGUAUGGGCACAACACAAUUUAUCAUUCACCUGUUGAGGGACAUUUUACUUGUUUCUAAAUUUUUACUAUUACAAAUAAAGCUGCUGUGGACA
Long non-coding RNA from Cebus imitator (Panamanian white-faced capuchin), 1540 nucleotides. RefSeq lists it as uncharacterized. The transcript is spliced from 2 exons. The record is from RefSeq and is a predicted model, not a curated record. Lineage: Eukaryota; Metazoa; Chordata; Mammalia; Primates; Cebidae.